Molecule: ribosomal RNA, 502 nt
Filed under: uncultured bacterium
Lineage: Bacteria
Description: bacterial SSU rRNA
Rfam family: Bacterial small subunit ribosomal RNA
Source: RNAcentral
GCCUAAUACAUGCAAGUCGAACGCACUCUCGUUUAGAUUGAAGGAGCUUGCUCCUGAUUGAUAAACAUUUGAGUGAGUGGCGGACGGGUGAGUAACACGUGGGUAACCUGCCCUAAAGUGGGGGAUAACAUUUGGAAACAGAUGCUAAUACCGCAUAAAACCUAACACCGCAUGGUGUAGGGUUGAAAGAUGGUUUCGGCUAUCACUUUAGGAUGGACCCCGCGGUGCAUUAGUUAGUUGGUGAGGUAAAGGCUCACCAAGACCGUGAUGCAUAGCCGACCUGAGAGGUAAUCGGCCACACUGGGACUGAGACACGGCCCAGACUCCUACGGGAGGCAGCAGUAGGGAAUCUUCCACAAUGGACGAAAGUCUGAUGGAGCAACGCCGCGUGAGUGAAGAAGGUUUUCGGAUCGUAAAACUCUGUUGUUGGAGAAGAAUGUAUCUGAUAGUAACUGAUCAGGUAGUGACGGUAUCCAACCAGAAAGCCACGGCUAACUACGUG